CGAAAUUGAGUGAAACAAAAAGGAAAGUUGUAGUACUUGACGAGACGAAGAGAUUGAUACCUACCUCGACUCCUAACUCGCCGGGGAUUCGCCGGAAAAUGCCUCGAAAGCUCCGGCCAAACUUUGAACUUGUCGAUCUCCGUGUUCUUACGUCCAAAAACUUCCAACGAAGCACUCCGAGCUUCCUUGGAACCUCACUAAGCUCACUGUGAGCUUGGAUUGUCCUAAAACAAAGUCAAUUCGAAGAUCAUGAACAGUGCACUUUCACGGGGAGUUUAGAAUCUAGGUUUUCCGAAGUAAAACUUACCUGAAAUUGGUGUCUACGUGAUCGUGGAGUCUCCAGGAGUUCGAUGGUGGUCUUAACUCCGUCGUUGGUAUAGAUUUAGGGUGGUUUUGGAGCUCGUCUGUGUGAGUUCGAAGGAGAGGGAGAGAGACAGAGAAUGAGAGAUUGUGAGGGAGGAGAGAGAGAGACAGGGUACGGGAAAUAGGGAGGGAUUUGAGGUGUGUGGUCCUACCUAACCCCAAAUCAUAAAAUUCCAUCUCCAAAUAACUUAGAAACAUAUAUUUCACCAAUAUAUGAUUCACAUAUCUUAAUCACGUUUAAGGGAAAUUCCGUCAAUUUACAAUCACGAGUGUAAAACUUUGGGACGGGCUGUGACAAUCUACCCACCUUAUAGAAUUUCGUCCCCGAAAUUCCAGCAACCAACUAAAUCAACCAUACUCCAACAAUAGCUUCGGGUAAAUCUCUCUCAUCCGAUUCUCUUCUCCCACGUAAUUUCUUCCACCGAAUAAUUUCUUCACACAACUUUUACCACUUACACUGUUUUAAUUCUUAGGACUUCCUUUCUCCAAUCCAAAAUCGUCCUUAGUUCCUUAUCAAUCAAAUCCAGUUUAAUUCUCAAUAGUUGCACCAGAAUCUCAUGUGACGAAUCUACCACCUAGUGACAACGUAUCGAACCCAAAAUACAUUAAGUACCUUAGCCAACUCUGAAGACAUCACCACUUGUAUGCAACUUUAUUGAUUCCUUUAGUGAUCAAAAAUGGUCUGAUGUGUCUAAAUCUUAUCUUGUCUCCUUUCCAAUUCUCGCCAUUUCUGCUCGUGGUGAAUUUUCCAAAAUAUCGAAUCAUGAAACACAUCAUGUACUUACAACAACUCUGGAAGCCAUUUAAAUCUGUAUUCAACUUCACCAACCCUUCGAUGAUCACAUAAAAUUCGGUUCACCUAGGAUUUAACUUGCCUUCCUAUCCAGACCGAAUCACACUUUUCCAAGGUGAAAACUUCGAAAAUAUAAAACCAUCUGUCUUAUACACUUGAUUAGUGGCAUAUCCAUCUGUUGAUCUCUUUUGCCAUUCCUGAUUACUUCAGGUUAACUUAAUCACCUGAAUACUUUAAGGAGACUCAUCCAUAGUCUCAGGGUCUACUAAAACUCUUUCUCGAUCGAAUCUUUCUCUACCCAGAAACAUUCCAUUCACAAGUCAUCAAAAACCGACUCACGUGACACAUUUCAUGGUCCUUAUGGCGUUACUUCGGAAACUGCACAACCAACAUACUUAAGAAACUUAGCAGUUCCGUAAUCCAAUUCUCUUUUCCAUAAAACAAAUAAGUAGUGUUGCACUGUCUGGGAAAGGUUGUUACUCAACACUGGAGUAAAUGUACUAACUUGUUACUUAACAAGUAUAACUUCUUCUCGAUCUUCCAUUCUUAAUUUUUCUUCCGUUGGUUUUCAAUCCACAAAAUGAUACUCUUGGCAAACGUGCCAGAUAUUAAUCUUACUGUAGUCUUUCUCACCAAGUGCUUCAGCUAGAACAAAUUUUACGAUCACCCUGAUCGUACAAUCAUGUUCAUUAAGCAAUACAAUUCACUUUCGCUGCCUCUCAUAUCAAAAUCCUUCCAAGUAAUGGAUAUUGAAGACUUUUUGGAUUCGUAAAAAAAAAUCUUGCAUUCCCACUAAAAUAUAAUGUCUCCAUAACUUCACAGCAAGAAUGGUAAUCGUAAUCGUGACUUCCAAAUCACCAGUAGGGUAAUUCAUCUUAUGAGAUUCCAUUUAUCGUGAAACGUAUGCAAUCACCCUAACAUUUGCAUCAACAUGCCUCCAAAUACCAUUCAAGAAACAUCACUAAAAAUUUAUGAUUACCACUAUUCUCUGGGAAUACCAAACCAAAAUACGUGCAUGAGUGAGGAAAUACUUCAGUUAUUGAAUCCUUUGCUCACAAUUUCCUUCCCACUCAUACAUAAUCUCUUUUCUCAACAGUCUCAUCAAUGACAAAUCAAUGACUAAAAAAAUCUUUCACAACCAUCCAAGAUAGCCUGGUAAGCUAAGAAAUUCCAAAUCUCAAUUACGACUCGUGGUUGUUCCAAAUUCUCAAUUUCUGCUAUCUUUUAAGGAUUCACUUGAAUACCUUAAGAGUAUAUAACAAAUCUCAGAAUACCACCUGAUUCAUCCAACAUUCGCAUUUGCUAAACUUUGCAUACAAUCGACAUUCUUCCAAUCUUUGCUUCACCAACUUAAUAUGUUUACAUGCUCUGCUCUGGCUCAGAAUGUACCAGAAUAUCGUCAAUGACAAAUGAUAACAAUUUAUCAUGACAUUCGUGGAAUACUUCAUCCAUAAACUCCUAAAACAACGUGAGUUUUCUUAUAGCAUCACCAAAGCUCAUAAAAGAUCAUAACAAAUCCAGAAUACCAUCUUAUGAUCAAUGUCGCUCAAAAUCUUCAAUUGGUAAUAACCAGACCUCAAUCAAUCAAUCUUUGAAAUUACACACAAACAUCUCUGAGCUUAUCAACUAAACAUCAGUACACACUAUCAUGGAUAACGGUUCUCGUUCUCGAUCGUUACCAAUUCCAUUGUCUAUAAUCAAUGAACAAUCUCUAAGUCCAUUUUCUUUCUCACCAACAAACUGGUGCUCCUCAAAAGUGUUGUACUAGGUUGAAUGAAAUUUUUUAUCAACCAAUUCUUUCAACUGAAUUUCCAAUUCACUUAACUCAUCAUGAACCAAUCUCUAUCAUAAGAUUUAUACCUGGCAACAAUUCAAUAGUGAACCUCAUAUCUCUGCCUGAAGGCAAUCCAGGUAUACUUUCAAGGAAGACAUCAAAAAAAGUCUAACCCCUUUUUCAUUUUUCACACUUCUCCGAGCAACAUCCUUUAGUACCACAUGAGCUAAGUAUUUUUGACAGCCUUUCGAAAACAAUCUAUUUGCUCUCACAGCAUUAAUAACGGCCUGACUCAAUCCAUUUUGCAUACUUACAAAAGUAAUCUCUGGUCAUCCAGAUCGAUGGAAAGUACUGGUUUCCCGUAACAUUCCGUCUUAUCACAAUUAUAACCAACCAAUCUAAUGGAACAGAAUUAACUGAUACAAUAUAUAUUUUAUUAUACUAACAUAAAAUAAUCUACCGGUUUGCUUGCUUAACGAAUCCACGAAUGAGUUAUUAAUAUUACGGUCUGCAGCCCGCAAUACUGAUAAAUCAUCGUUGUCUCGAUAAGUAGGCAACCACUCUCAAAGAUAUAACAUUACUAUUUUGUCACUCAAUGCAAAAUACAUACACUCAUCUCAACUACAUUUAUUUACUACUCUCAAGGUAAUAACAUACAUAAUAAGAAAUAUAUCAGCCGAAGUCAACUAGAAUGACCCGUACGGCUGAUUCAACAAUUAUCUCAAUAAUACGUCGGCCGGAUCCACUCCGCGUGGUCGGUACGGCCGAGCCUAUAACUCACCAAUUUCUCAUGUGUCAGUCGAAUCCACUUCUCAUGGUCUGUACAGCUGAACAUAUAACUCAUCAAAUCUCUCUGUACUCACGGUCAAUCCGACCAAACUACUAAGUCCAUAACUCUGCUGAAUCGACACUAUGAUAUCAUGGAAAAUUGUUGAGUACAACUGAUUCUAUAGACGAUUCACAAUUCUGUGUCCCCUCUGUUCACAUAAACACAUUCAUUAAUUUCACACUUCCCAAAGUGUUAAUUUUGUACCUGCUGCACAAAGUAUAUUUCCUUUACUCGAGACACCUUGUCUCAAAUAUCUGGGAUUACCAGUAUAUCCAUCACUUUUAUUCUGACCAGCGACAUUAAAACCUCUGCUGGAAGAAUUAACUCUAGCUUCACUUCUUUUGAAGCUCUGAAUCUUUCUAUAUCCUUGAUAUGACGAAUCAUUAACUUUAUCGUCUUCUUUUAAUUCCUAAUCUUUUCUUAUUCUUCUUUACUCUAGCUGAUCAUAUUCUCAGAGUUCUCAAGGCUCAACAACAUCUUGUAUACUCUUGGUAAGAAAUACAAUGGAUAGUGGUCACCCAAAUUACCACUUCCCUUUUUGCCACCCAGCUUAAAACACAUAACACCUCCACCAAAUUAACAACAAUAUCUGGAUGGAACGAGGCAAGUCUGAAAACUUUCUAUAAUAUCCCUCGAUCAUCACCUUCAUUGUCUCAUAUUUGUAAACUCUUGUUUACUACCAUCAAUAAAUGCCGGAGGGAUAAACUUUUCCUUAAAAAAUUUUAAAUCGGCUGAUUCCUCUGGUGACAACAAUUAACAUUCCUGUUUCCACCAGGAUGCAAAUUCAUACCCAAAACCAGGUAGUCGUCUCGACCCCCUGUCAGAAGGAAGAUUCCUUUGACUUGCAUAAUCUGAAACAUCUUUUCCAAAUGGUUAAACCGUUACUUCGCUCCCUCAGGUUCAUCAUUUCUCUUAGGUGAUUCAAGUUCAACUCAUUACCCAUCUUAAAAUGUCCAUUUUGAUAAUAUACUGAAUCACCAUAAUAAUAGUUUCCCCCUAAACCGCUAAAUCAGGGAGACUAAGUUCCUCUAACUACGUGGUUUGCUACGAGGCGGUGUAGUUCUGACAGAAUUCACUAGAACUUCUCAAAAUGUCCAAGAUUGCAACCAUGCUCUGAUACCAACUGACACACCAUCCCGAAGGAGGGCAUGCUGGCCGUCACGUGAGAGUGACGUAACCAUUUGCACAGUACGGAAGCUUUAAGAUACAAUUUAUAAGUUGAUACACCCGAAGGUGAGUCCUAAUUUUGACCAAUCUGUCAGAACACCGUCGAAUUCCUCGUAGUCACCACACCUUUGUGAUUCUUGAACCUGGAGGGCGCAAAACCAAAAUUGAGUGGGUCAGUAAAACAAUUCUUUUCCAAAUCCAAACAUUUCUCAAAACGUUGUAACCCCUCUCCGUAAAACCUGUAUACUUUCCCAGAAAUGUAAAAUAUAAAUAUACAUAUAUAUUCUCAAAACUUCAUUUUUACUAUCUCAACAUUUUUCUUUAUCAAUCAUGCCAUGCCAUGUCUAAUUCAACAGUUAAAUAUGGAUGCAUCAACAAUAAUCAUAUCAGGUGCAAGAAAGUAAUCAACCGGAGGCCCUCUAAUAGCCCUGUACGGUUGAACCUAGAGCUCAAAAUCUAUCACUAUCACUCUACCGGAGUCACCUCUGUGACCCGUCCGGCCUUCUGCACACAAGUUACGCUCUAGUGCUUUCUCAUCAAUCAUCUGUGCACAUAAUCUAAGGUCACCCACCAGUCGGAAUCUCACUAACACUCUCGCGACUGGCCUGUCGUACCCACUCCGCGUGGACUGUACGACUAGCAUCUACUUGGAUCCAAGGCGAGCGUGCGAUGCGGUGAAUACUAUAAGCACUAAACCAUGGUGCAGGAUUUGAGCUCAAUAUAUAUCAACAUCAUCAUAACAGUAAUUAAAUACUCACCUGAUACUCACCUGUGCGUCCGCCGCACCAUUCAUUCAUAUGCAUCAUAUCUCAAUUCAUACUUUUCAUAUCAUUUCAUGCAUGGCAAUUCGAUUCACAUUUCUAUAUACUUUUCAUAUACUUUUAUGCAUGGCAUUUCAACUAAUAUAUCUCAUAUACUUUUAUACAUUUUCAUUAAAAGCAUAAUUUCAUGCAUUUUCAAUUUCUGGGAAACGGCAAGUAUAUAUGUAUACGGAAAACAAAACUGUCCACCCACUCACCUGGAGUUCGCCCUACAACUCCCUAGCACAAUACGCCAAGGCGUCAUGACGAUCGGCGCCUAAAACAAUAAUUAAUUCCAACCUCAGAAUUCAUAGUGAUAGAAUAUAUAACUUAUAUAAAAUACGUCACUACGUAGUUCGAUCCGGAAGAUCUGCCACUCAGAUUUUAAAUCCAUAACUUCCAGAGGUCCACAAUAUACCUCUAGGACAACUUCCUAAAAUUUCAUUACCAUCCAACGGUCGGAUCUCCGUCAAUUUCCAAAACUAAGUGACGGUUAACAUUUUAUUUUAUGAACUUACAAUUCCAAUUCCGGAAGAUCCGUAACUCGGAUUCCCAAUCCGUAAGUUCCAAUAAUCCUCAAAUAUUACGUAUUACAACGUAUCAAAGUUUGGUAACGAUCCAACGGUCGGAUCGUCAAUUCACAUUUUCACCAAAACUAUAAAACGUUAUUCGAACGAACACCUAACCAACAAUCCUUAAUAACUUUCUCAUACGGUGCUCAAAUUGGGUAUAUGAAAUAUACCACGGUGAUCUACUCGACGUCACGGACGUCGACAUAUUUUUAAAAAUAAUUUUUUUAUUUAUUUUUUUUUUUAACUGUAGCACCUUCUUCUUCCUUGGGUCGCCGGACUGGUUUUUUCCGGCGGCCGUUUUUCCGGGCAGUUUUUCAAAUUGUCAUAACUUUGUCAUUUCUCAACGAAAUCAAGUGAUUCAAAAACGAAAGUUGUAGCCCUUGAAGAGACAAAGAGAAUGGUACCUUGCACAACACCUAGUUCGCCGUGGUUUGGCCGGAAACUGCCUCGAAAGCCUCGGAGGUCGCCGGAAACUGGGUAUUUUUCAAAUGAGUAUAACUUCUUCAAUACUCAACGAAAUUGAGUGAAACAAAAAGGAAAGUUGUAGUACUUGACGAGACGAAGAGAUUGAUACCUACCUCGACUCCUAACUCGCCGGGGAUUCGCCGGAAAAUUCCUCGAAAGCUCCGGCCAAACUUUGAACUUGUCGAUCUCCGUGUUCUUACGUCCAAAAACUUCCAACGAAGCACUCCGAGCUUCCUUGGAACCUCACUAAGCUCACUGUGAGCUUGGAUUGUCCUAAAACAAAGUCAAUUCGAAGAUCAUGAACAGUGCACUUUCACGGGGAGUUUAGAAUCUAUCUAGGUUUUCCGAAGUAAAACUUACCUGAAAUUGGUGUCUACGUGAUCGUGGAGUCUCCAGGAGUUCGAUGGUGGUCUUAACUCCGUCGUUGGUAUAGAUUUAGGGUGGUUUUGGAGCUCGUCUGUGUGAGUUCGAAGGAGAGGGAGAGAGACAGAGAAUGAGAGAUUGUGAGGGAGGAGAGAGAGAGACAGGGUACGGGAAAUAGGGAGGGAUUUGAGGUGUGUGGUCCUACCUAACCUCAAAUCAUAAAAUUCCAUCUCCAAAUAACUUAGAAACAUAUAUUUCACCAAUAUAUGAUUCACAUAUCUUAAUCACGUUUAAGGGAAAUUCCGUCAAUUUACAAUCACGAGUGUAAAACUUUGGGACGGGCUGUGACAUUUUGCAUCAUUAGAAAUGAACAUUUCAAAUAGUAGGUAGGUAAAUUAAUUUGUUCUAAUUAUAUAAAAAAAAUUACACUACACCUAGUUAUAUUUAAUUUUUCCAAUUAUUAAAAAAAUUUAUACUACACCCAACCAAAUAACAUUUAUCUAACUUGUAGGUAAAUUAUUUUCCAUGUAUUGUUAGAUAUGUUAGGCACGUUUUAUUGUUGUAUAAACAUGGGUGUAACAUAGUUUUUUUAAUACUAUGCAUCGAACUACAUUUCUUCUUAAUAUAGGUAAAUUAUUUUUUUUCAUGUAUUAGUACAUAUGUUAGGCACGUUUUGUUGUUUGGUAUAAACAUUAUUUUGCAUCAUUGUAAAACAGAGAUAUUAUAUUACACCCAUGGUAUAAUUGUUGUAGGUAAAUUAAUGUGCAUGUAGAUAAUGAAAUACACUGUUCUAAAUAUAUUAAUAAAAAAAGAUAAAUUCAAAAUUCAAAAGUAUUCAAGAGUAGGGUGAAAAAAACCGAAUCGAAUAGUUUUAUGAAAAUUCAAAGCCUUUCUAAAAAAUUAAUAUGCAAUAAAUUUUUGACAUUAAUGUC
Molecule: long non-coding RNA, 8058 nt
Filed under: Malus domestica (apple)
Lineage: Eukaryota; Viridiplantae; Streptophyta; Magnoliopsida; Rosales; Rosaceae
Description: long non-coding RNA (MDOM_LNC000634)
Source: RNAcentral